GUGCUCACUUCGGCAGCACAUAUAUUAAAAUUUUUAAAAGACAGAGAAGAUUAGCAUGGCCCCUGUGCAAGGAUGUCAUGCAAAUUCAUGAAGUGCUCUGUAUAAAA
This is a small nuclear RNA of Fukomys damarensis (Damara mole-rat), 107 nucleotides long. NCBI's taxonomy places the organism in Eukaryota, Metazoa, Chordata, Mammalia, Rodentia, Bathyergidae. The record is from Ensembl.